UUGACCUCGGAUCAUGGCAGGGAUACCCGCUGAACUUAAGCGAUAUCAAUAAGCGGAGGAAAAGAAACCAUCAGGGAUUGCCUCAGUAACGGCGAGUGAAGCGGCAACAGCUCAAAUUUGAAUAUCUGGCUCUUUUACGGGUCCGAGUUGUAAUUGUGUAGAGGAUGCUUCGGCGUGGGCUCCGGUCUAAGUUCCUUGGAACAGGACGUCAUAGAGGGUGAGAAUCCCGUAUGUGAUCGGUUGCCGUUGCCAUGUGAAGCUCCUUCGACGAGUCGAGUUGUUUGGGAAUGCAGCUCUAAAUGGGAGGUAAAUUUCUGCUAGAGCUAAAUACUGGCCAGAGACCGAUAGCGCACAAGUAGAGUGAUCGAAUGAUGAAUAGCACUCUGGACCAGAGUGAAAAGUACGUGAACUGUGGAAGGGAUCGCU
Molecule: ribosomal RNA, 426 nt
Filed under: uncultured fungus
Lineage: Eukaryota; Fungi
Description: eukaryotic LSU rRNA
Rfam family: Eukaryotic large subunit ribosomal RNA
Source: RNAcentral